RNAcentral lists this ribosomal RNA (584 nucleotides) under uncultured Helotiales. Its description in RNAcentral is "eukaryotic LSU rRNA". The stretch from base 227 to 380 matches the Rfam family "5.8S ribosomal RNA". The record is from RNAcentral. Lineage: Eukaryota; Fungi; Ascomycota; Leotiomycetes; Helotiales.
CUUGGUCAUUUAGAGGAAGUAAAAGUCGUAACAAGGUUUCCGUAGGUGAACCUGCGGAAGGAUCAUUACAGAGUUCAUGCCCUUACGGGUAGAUCUCCCACCCUUGAAUAUAUACCUUUGUUGCUUUGGCGGGUCGCAUCGUCCACUGGCUUUUUGCUAGUGAGUGCCCGCCAGAGAACCCUAAAUUCUGAAUUAAAGUGUCGUCUGAGUAUUAUAUAAUAGUUAAAACUUUCAACAACGGAUCUCUUGGUUCUGGCAUCGAUGAAGAACGCAGCGAAAUGCGAUAAGUAAUGUGGAUUGCAGAAUUCAGUAAAUCAUCGAAUCUUUGAACGCACAUUGCGCCCCUUGGUAUUCCGGGGGGCAUGCCUGUUCGAGCGUCAUUAUAACCCUCAAGCCUAGCUUGGUGUUGGGGCAUGCCUUUGGGCAGCCCUUAAAAUCAGUGGCAGUGCCUAUCGGCUCUAAGCGUAGUAAUUUCUCUCGCUAUAGGGUCCGGUGGAACACGCGCCAGAACCCCCAACUUUCUAUGGUUGACCUCGGAUCAGGUAGGAUACCCGCUGAACUUAAGCAUAUCAAUAAGCGGAGGA